UGCGCAGCUCUGCGGCGCAUUUAAGAGAGCUUGGAUCCGGAAGUCCAUUCUCUUGCCUUGGAGGAGACACAACGAUGAGCAGAGACGAUCGCUGCUCCGCAUAACAUGAGAAAACUAAAGAAGACCGCAUCAUGUUUAGUCUUCAUUACGACGGUGUGUGGAUGAAGAUGGAACGUUUUAUCUGCGAUUGGUACACUUGAUGUCAAGUCACUAUUGUGUACCACAGAUGGCCAAAUAUUGGUUUUCACCAUGUGGACCUUAAGCUGCUUCAGGAGUCACUGUGUAGUCAGGGACAUGCACCUGAUUUAAUCCUGUUGAUCUGGAGAUGAGCGGUUGGUGCAUCAGUGGAACAAAACACGGUGUCCGCUCCGUCUUAUGUGGUUUCGGGAGCUGUUGGCUGAUCAGACAGUCUUGUGGGGUAGCCUAAUUUGAAAGUGUUGCUGGAGCUGAUGGAUCACCAGUUAGAGGAAAUCUGGAGAUUUGCCUUUUUUUUUUUUUUUUUUUU
Perca flavescens (yellow perch) is the source of this 505-nucleotide long non-coding RNA. RefSeq lists it as uncharacterized. The transcript has 7 exons. The record is from RefSeq and is a predicted model, not a curated record. Lineage: Eukaryota; Metazoa; Chordata; Actinopteri; Perciformes; Percidae.